UACGGGGGGGGCAAGCGUUGUUCGGAAUUACUGGGCGUAAAGGGCUCGUAGGUGGCCAACUAAGUCAGACGUGAAAUCCCCAGGCUCAACUUGGGAACUGCGUCUGAUACUGGAUGGCUUGAAUUCGGGAGAGGGAUGCAGAAUUCCAGGUGUAGCGGUGAAAUGCGUAGAUAUCUGGAGGAAUACCGGUGGCGAAGGCGGCAUCCUGGACCGACAUUGACGCUGAUGAGCGAAAGCUAGGGGAGCAAACGGG
This 253-nucleotide ribosomal RNA is filed under the name uncultured bacterium. RNAcentral's name for it is "partial 16S ribosomal RNA". It matches the Rfam family "Bacterial small subunit ribosomal RNA", at positions 524 to 776 of the family's 1533-position model. The record is from RNAcentral.